UACGUAGGUGGCAAGCGUUAUCCGGAUUUACUGGGUGUAAAGGGCGUGUAGGCGGGACUGCAAGUCAGAUGUGAAAACCACGGGCUCAACCUGUGGCCUGCAUUUGAAACUGUAGUUCUUGAGUACUGGAGAGGCAGACGGAAUUCCUAGUGUAGCGGUGAAAUGCAUAGAUAUCACACAGAACACCGAUUGCGAAGGCAUCUGACGAAUCGGAGAUUGACGCUGAUGCACGAAAGCGUGGGUAUCGAACAGG
Molecule: ribosomal RNA, 253 nt
Filed under: uncultured bacterium
Lineage: Bacteria
Description: partial 16S ribosomal RNA
Rfam family: Bacterial small subunit ribosomal RNA
Source: RNAcentral